Molecule: long non-coding RNA, 3356 nt
Filed under: Podarcis lilfordi (Lilford's wall lizard)
Lineage: Eukaryota; Metazoa; Chordata; Lepidosauria; Squamata; Lacertidae
Source: RNAcentral
UAUCAUUGGUAGUCAGAACACGGAAUUGUCAGACACAGCCAUAGUAGGCUCCCAUAGCUCCCCACAAUAGUGGCCCUGGUGGUCACUAAAAACCAUCUGUUUGGACUCUGGCCUCUUGUCCAACUGCACAAACACAGCCAUGGUGAAGAAAGGACAUCCAAUCUGGCCUAAGAAGAGACCUACUGGAUCACAUAGAAGUCCUAUCCUGUUUUGUACAGUGCCCAACCAGAUGUCUUGAGGGAAGCCCACACACAGGGUGUGAGGGGAAAGCCCUUUCGCAAUGGUUCCUCAAAACUGGCAUGGUGCCUCUUAUCCUAUAGCUAUCACGAUUAGUAGCUAUUGCCCUCUGUAAUGCAAACUUAUUUGGGUCCCUUGGGUUCAUAACUUUGCACAUUAGAAUAAAAUUGGCAACAUCCAAUUAACCUGUUUGACAUACUGGCUCGUAUCUCCAGCUCACACCUCAAACUUGUGUAAACAGUUAAAUCUGCAUUGCCCUUAAGGCAACUGGUUCGCAUCACAAAAUUCUGCAAUGCCUUUGAGCCAACUGGUACAAUAACCCUAUUGGGGGAGUUUGCUUUCACCCCUACAAUCUGAUUUCCUCACAUCCAGACACCAAGUCACAGUCUGUAAGAUUACCUAAGACUUAAUUGUCUGUCUGUUGGAGCUGUGCUGGAGGAUGGAGACUUUAAAAUCUUACUGGAAGAGGACUGGAUGUUAAAAUCCCAUUGGAAAAGGGUUCUGUGAAUUAUGAACUUUUAAACUGGACUUAUUUUUGCCUUUGGGGUUUAUUUCAACUAGAUUUCUGUGAUCCAUGACAUCCUUUUGACUUGCCUCCAGUUUAAAUAACUUCCCUAAUGUUGUGGCCUUUAAAUAAUCUGCCAUUUGCUCCUGGUGCAGCUUAUUGGUUCACAAUGGUUCUGUGAUUGGUUCAUAAAUCCUAUGUCCCGUGUAGAGUUUUGUCACUGCAGAGUGAUUACAACACCAUUAGGCUCCAGAAAGCUUCAAUUAUUCUGUGUAAUGCCUUGUGUGUAGAGGGUCCUACAUCUGAUUGCAUGAGCAAUACUGAACUAACCAUUUUGCAAAGUAAGCUCAGGAUUGUUCUGCCAGUUUAGAUCCUCUAUAUUGGAAUGUAAUCACCUGUGAGCACUACGGUUAUGGGAGAAGUCAUUGUCUUGCUGCUACUGCUGUCCCACUUAAAAAAUUUAAAAGCUUCUCAGCAUGUGGAGGUGUUCCAUUAUCACAGGACAGGGAACCAGUAGCUGUGGCCCAGGUUGAAUUAAAAGCUAAAUAACUUCUCUACCCACUGUGAGGAGCAGAAUGAAAUCUACUGUCCCCGCUGCUGUGCAAAAAUUAUUAGCAACUAGUCAGGAGGAGAGAGGCUAUUAAAAGACAUCUUCAAAAAACAGCUAUAUUGUUGUUGUUUAGUCGUUUAGUCAUGUCCGACUCUUCAUGACCCCAUGGACCAGAACACGCCAGGCACUCCUGUCUUCCACUGCCUCCUGCAGUUUGGUCAAACUCAUGUUCGUAGCUUCAAGAACACUGUUCAACCAUCUCGUCCUCUGUCGUCCCCUUCUCCUUGUGCCCUCAAUCUUUCCCAACAUCAGGGUCUUUUCCAGGGAGUCUUCUCUUCUCAUGAGGUGGCCAAAUUAUUGGAGCCUCAGCUUCAUGAUCUGCCCUUCCAGUGAGCACUCAGGGCUGAUUUCCUUAAGAAUGGAUGCGUUUGAUCUUCUUGCAGUCCAUGGGACUCUCAAGAGUCUCCUCCAGCACCAUAAUUCAAAAGCAUCAAUUCUUCAGCGAUCAGCCUUCUUUAUGGUCCAGCUCUCACUUCCAUACAUCACUACUGGGAAAACCAUGGCUUUAACUAUACGGACCUUUGUUGGCAAGGUCAACAGCUAUAUACUGCUAGGCUAAUGAAACUAAAUAUAGAUAUUGAUGCAAUAGUAGUAAUAAUAAUUUUUCACCCCUCAGCUCAGCACCCUGUGGGGGGGAGACCACCCACACCACCCUAAAUCCAGUGCUGAUAAGGAUCCAGUAGGUUCUGCAUGACACCAAACCUGCAGUAGGGCACUGGACUAGAUCAGUGGUUCCCAACCUUUUUUUUUUUUUUUUUGCUAUGCCCCACCUAAGCAUCUCUAAAAUCCUGAUGCCCCCUCCUUGACAUUUAAUUCUUAUAAUUCAAAAAGUGAGCUCCUAUUCAUGUGGAGGAAGCCUAAAAGGCAAUUCACUGUUAAUAACUCAUUCUCAAGUUAUUAAUGCCUCCCUUAAAAUUCAAAUUGCCCCCCUGUGGGGCAUGUGCCCCAUGUUGGGAACCAUGGGACUAGAUGAUCAUCAAGUUCUCUUCCAGCUCUGUCAUUCACUAUGGAUGGCAUUGGUUGUCAUCUGGGUAAUACAAAAUUGCAGCUUCUGUUACACCAAAGUUUUGGUUAUAUAGACUCCAUGUGUCUCUUCCAGUGAACAAACAUACGUGGGACCCUGCCACCAACAGCCAUCCAGCUCCAUGGUAGUGAUAAAGCUGGAAUUAACUAAAAGAUAGAAUCCCAUACCAUAUGAAUAUAUGACCUAAAUAAUCCAUCUAUUAAGGGUGCGGCUCUUAAUGGCUCUAAUUUCCCAGCAUUUUGUAGUUUGAGUGAACGUGGAAGACCCUUAACAGAAAAUGUUAAACUAAAAUGUUUUGGGUUAUUUUGUUAAUUGAAUAAAUAAAAUAUCUAUUCUUCCCAAAGUUGUCUUGAGAUACUGCUACAUAGUAAAUUAUGCAUUAGCACUCAGAAUUACUGCAGUUCUGGUGGUUUAAAUGGCACAGUGUUCUGUGCUCAAAUAAAUCUUUUCAUAUUUCUUAAUUAUUGUAUUUGUGUCAGAAAUCAGGCUAGGCUUAACGAGAAAUUAGUGGCUAAUAAAAGCUCCCCUUGGAAACAGAGUAAGUUUGGGGUUUUCUGUUUGCUGAUGAGCUGUUAUGUUGUACACACCAGUACCUGAUUUGUGAGCACAAAAUACAUGGUUCAUUAGUCCUUUUCACAAGCUAAGUACCCACUGCUCCUAAUGCAAAUGCAAAUCACUUUUUAAUGGUCAAGCUGACGAGAUAGGGAGUGCUUUUGUUAGAGCUAUGACUUGUAGUUAAUUAAGCCAAUUAGCAUUUGAUGUAGGCACCUUUUCCAGGCUCUCAAGAGAUGGUGAGACACUAGGCAGAAAUGUGACAGCAAGAAACAGAAAGUAGGUCAGAAAUGGAUUCAAAUCUAUUCUGCACCCCUCCACUAAAGUUCUUGCUAGAAUAUUAUAAUGGGCUUCUUUUUCCAGGAAAAGGACACCGGAAUCUUUGGCCCCAGCUGCGCUCUACAAUUCAAGCAGUAUCAUACCACUUU